RNAcentral lists this ribosomal RNA (497 nucleotides) under uncultured bacterium. Its description in RNAcentral is "partial 16S ribosomal RNA". It matches the Rfam family "Bacterial small subunit ribosomal RNA", at positions 28 to 507 of the family's 1533-position model. The record is from RNAcentral.
GAUGAACGUUGGCGGCGUGCCUAAUACAUGCAAGUCGAGCGAACAGACGAGGAGCUUGCUCCUCUGACGCUAGCGGCGGACGGGUGAGUAACACGUGGAUAACCUACCUAUAAGACUGGGAUAACUUCGGGAAACCGGAGCUAAUACCGGAUAAUAUAUUGAACCGCAUGGUUCAAUAGUGAAAGACGGUUUUGCUGUCACUUAUAGAUGGAUCCGCGCCGCAUUAGCUAGUUGGUAAGGUAACGGCUUACCAAGGCAACGAUGCGUAGCCGACCUGAGAGGGUGAUCGGCCACACUGGAACUGAGACACGGUCCAGACUCCUACGGGAGGCAGCAGUAGGGAAUCUUCCGCAAUGGGCGAAAGCUUGACGGAGCAACGCCGCGUGAGUGAUGAAGGUCUUCGGAUCGUAAAACUCUGUUAUUAGGGAAGAACAAAUGUGUAAGUAACUAUGCACGUCUUGACGGUACCUAAUCAGAAAGCCACGGCUAACUACGUG